This is a long non-coding RNA of Brassica napus (rape), 1093 nucleotides long. RefSeq lists it as uncharacterized. The transcript has 5 exons. Lineage: Eukaryota; Viridiplantae; Streptophyta; Magnoliopsida; Brassicales; Brassicaceae. The record is from RefSeq and is a predicted model, not a curated record.
CCUUACUUUCAUAAAACCUAUAAAUAUAUCGCCCAUGUUCUCUUUAAUGGACGAUAGUUGGCAAUUUCUCAGUUUUAUUUCUCUGAUUUGAGUGAGGCGGCUACAAACAGUCAGUUCAGGCAAGAUGCCUAUGUGUUUCUCGGAAGCCAAUAAAGUAAUGAAAAGAGGAUAGACAAAUCCAGGAAUCAAUUAAUGUGCAACUAUUCAACACCUUAAAAAAAUGAAGUAUCUAGCUUAAUGUUUUGUAUUUCAUAUGAAGGAGCAACCCUUACUUCCGGUUUGGAGAAAUCCAUGUUUCUAUUAGAUUUACGGAGCAAACCGUGUUUGUUGAGGUCGCUGAAACCGAUUCCAGUGGAGAGUUUUGGGUUUUGCAAUUACUAACACCUUAUGGUAUUGGCCAACACCAACACAGAUUUUUUUUUCCAGGCCGCCUUUUCCUCAAUGCAACCUCCGGAACACAUUUCUACUUUUACCAAGAAAGUGUAACCAGCCAGAGCUUUCUACAAGACUAAGUUUUGUGGAUCUGACAUUGAUAGCUCCUCCACUCCUUCCAAGUAUGGCGGUGUACAGAAAAUUGAGUUAGCAACAAUUGUGGAGUUUAUUGUCUGUGUCGUGAAUUCACCACCUCAGGCGGUACGGUAGAAUUCCACUGCACUGGCCAAGUCGAUGACAUUGAGAAAACUGACGGACCAAUGCUUCAUCAUUAAAGCUUUGCUUACAAGGAGGUGGUGACUACCCUGGAAAUGAUAUUCUGGAUGCUGUGACUCUCACUAUUAACCCUCUCAUGUGAUGGGGAGCAGUGGUUCACAUAAUACCACAUGAAGUAACACUGCUCCAAUUUUUGAAGGAAGCAUGGCUGAGUCAGCAGUACUACCUGCCCAACCUGAUGCAUUUUUAGCACCCGAAAGGAUACCACAGAGCCUGAGAUCUCCAACCAUAGAGAUCCAUGACAAUAUUAAUAUAGGUGAAGAACUAAUUCCACACUGAACGUGCUAAGUUUGAGUCAAUAAUUUUUCUACAUUAUAUAGAUUGUCGUCUUUUUAGUUUGCUUGGUUAUAUACUUAUAUCAUAUAUAAAUACGUUGAUCUCAUUA